AACGAACGCUGGCGGCAUGCCUAACACAUGCAAGUCGAACGAGACCUUCGGGUCUAGUUGCGCACGGGUGCGUAACGCGUGGGAACCUGCCCUUAGGUUCGGAAUAACUCCCCGAAAGGGGUGCUAAUACCGGAUAAUGUCUUCGGACCAAAGAUUUAUCGCCUUUGGAUGGGCCCGCGUUGGAUUAGCUAGUUGGUAUGGUAAAAGCCUACCAAGGCGACGAUCCAUAGCUGGUCUGAGAGGAUGAUCAGCCACACUGGGACUGAGAGACGGCCCAGACUCCUACGGGAGGCAGCAGUGGUGAACAUUGGACGAUGGGCGAGAGCCUGAUCCAGCAAUGCCGCGUGAGUGAUGAAGGCCUUAGGGUUGUAAAGCUCUUUUACCCGGGAUGAUAAUGACAGUACCGGGAGAAUAAGCUCCGGCUAACUCCGUG
This 433-nucleotide ribosomal RNA is filed under the name uncultured bacterium. Its description in RNAcentral is "partial 16S ribosomal RNA". It matches the Rfam family "Bacterial small subunit ribosomal RNA", at positions 29 to 507 of the family's 1533-position model. The record is from RNAcentral.